GAGAAAUCUCACCUAUUGUCCAACGCAGUAGCUGGGUACAAAGUCUGGUGAUAGUUGCCAGUGUGACCAAUAUACGUGGUCAACGAGGGAUCCGUGCUUGCUGCGACCGCAGUAGGUGCGUAAGCAGUCGGGUACAUCGUGUUCAGGUUGCUGUACGCUGCUGCAACUGCAGCCGCAGCGCUGGUAUCAGCCGCGAGGUGGACAGGAAGUCUCUCAGCUGGGUCUUGUACCGCCUGUUCACUCUCUGUGACGUCGGUUGGCUGGGAAGUGUCGGCGUCAUCACGGAACCUGUGAGGCUGUCGCUGUCCGAGAAGUAGCUAUUCGUCAAGCCGGCGUCCAGAUAGCUCACUUUGAAGUCCAUUGUUCGUUUACCGAGAAGAUCCCGGCCCUCCUCCUCCCUGAAAAAUUACAAAGAUAGAAGAAUUUUAAUAAAAUUGAAAAUGUUUGAU
This 449-nucleotide unclassified non-coding RNA is filed under the name Bombus terrestris (buff-tailed bumblebee). Its description in RNAcentral is "misc RNA ENSBTSG00005025548.1". The record is from RNAcentral. Lineage: Eukaryota; Metazoa; Arthropoda; Insecta; Hymenoptera; Apidae.